Non-coding RNA from Acanthosepion pharaonis, 98 nucleotides. The record is from the annotation of a GenBank genome assembly. NCBI's taxonomy places the organism in Eukaryota, Metazoa, Mollusca, Cephalopoda, Sepiida, Sepiidae.
AUUGAAACUCCGGUUCCCGCACGAUCACUGAAGUUAAGCAACGUCGAGCCUGGUCAGUAUCUAGAUGGGUGAUUGGUUGGGAAUAGCAGGUGCUGUUA